RNAcentral lists this long non-coding RNA (1988 nucleotides) under Cyanistes caeruleus (blue tit). RNAcentral describes it as "lncRNA (ENSCCEG00000003282.1)". The record is from RNAcentral. Lineage: Eukaryota; Metazoa; Chordata; Aves; Passeriformes; Paridae.
GCACUCCGGGGACAUUUAUUGACAUUGGUGGCACUGCCGUGGUGGCACCUUGGGGACACCUGGGGACAUUCAGGGGUGGCACUUUGGGGACAGGGUGACAUUGGGGUGGUGGCACUUGGGGGACACUUUGGGGACAUUGGUUGACACGGUGACCCCGGGGGUGGUGGCACCUCGGGGACAUUCAGGGGGUGGUGGCACCUUGGGGACAUUGAUUGACACGGUGACACUGGGGGUGGUGGCACCUUGGGGACACCUUGGGGACACGGUGGUGGCACCUUGGGGACACUGCAGGGACUUUGAGGGGGGUGGUGGCACCUUGGUGGCCUCAAGAGCCGCCGGUGGCACUUGGGGACAUCUGGGGACGCUUUGGAGGCGCUGGCAGGUGGCACUUGGGGACACUUUGGUGGCAUCUGGGGAGGCUUUGGUGGCCCUUGGGGACAUCUGGGGACGCUUGGGUGGCACUUGGGUGGCGCUUGGGGGACGCUCCGGUGUCACUGGGAGGUGGCACUCGGGGACGUUUUGGGGACAUUCGGGGACAUUUUGGGGACAUUUGGGGACGUUUUGGGGACAUUUGGGGACGUUUCGGUGGCGCCGCCCUCGGGCUCCGUCGGGGUCACCUGAGGGGACAAAGGGGGGGGGCCUGGCGGUGUCACCUCCCCCUCCUUGGGGACAGCGGGUGGCCCCAAAAUCCCCCAAAUUCACCCCAAAAUCCCCUCAGGAACCCCAAAAUCCCCAAAAUUCACCCCAAAAUCCCCCAAAUUCACCCCAAAAUCCCCUCAGGAACCCCAAAAUCCUCAAAAUUUACCCCAAAAUCCCCUGGGACCCCAAAAACCCCAAAAUUCACCCCAAAAUCCACCUGGGAGCCCCAAAAUCCCCCAAAUUCACCCCAAAAUCCCCUCAAGGACCCCAAAAUCCCCCAAAUUCACCCCAAAAUGCUCUGAAUUUACCCCAAAAUCCCCUCAGGAGCCCCAAAAUCCCCCAAAUUUACCCCAAAAUCCCCUCAAGAACCCCCAAAUCCCCCAAAUUUGCUCAAAAUCCUCAAAAUUUACCCCAAAAUCCCCUCAGGACCCCAAAAUCCCCCAAAUUUACCCCAAAAUCCACCUGGGAGCCCCAAAAUCCCCCAAAUUCACCCCAAAAUCCCCUCAAGGACCCCAAAAUCCCCAAAAUUCACCCCAAAAACCCCUCAGGGACCCCAAAAUCCCCCAAAUUCACCCCAAGAUCCCAAAAAUUCACCCCAAAAUCCCCUCAGGAACCCCAAAAUCCUCAAAAUUUACCCCAAAAUCCACCGGGGAGCCCCAAAAUCCCCCAAAUUCACCCCAAAAACCCCUCAAGAACCCCCAAAUCCCCCAAAUUUGCUCAAAAUCCUCAAAAUUUACCCCAAAAUCCCCUCGAGGACCCCAAAAUCCCCCAAAUUCACCCCAAAAUGCUACGAAUUUACCCCAAAAUCCCCAAAAUUCACCCAAAAUCCUCAAAAUUUACCCCAAAAUCCCCUCAGGAACCCCAAAAUCCCCAAAAUUUACCCCCAAAUCCCCUCAAGGACACCAAAAUUCCCAAAAUUCACCCCAAAAUGCUCCAAAUUUACCCCAAAAUCCCCUCGAGGACCCCAAAAUUCACCAAAUUCACCCCAAAAUUCCACUUGAGAGCCCCAAAAUCUCCUGAAUUUACCCCAAAAUCCCCUCAGGGACCCCAAAAUCCCCAAAUUCACCCCAAAAUCCUCAAAAUUUACCCCAAAAUCCCCUCGAGGACCCCAAAAUGAGCCAAAUUCACCCCAAAAUCCACCUGGGAGUCCCAAAAUCCCCCAAAUUCACCCCAAAAACCCCUCAGGAACCCCAAAAUCCCCCAAACUCCACCUGGGACCCCCAAAAAGUCUCUCAGGGACUCCAAAAUUUCCUAAAUCCACCCCAAAAUCCACCUGGGACCCCCCAAAAUCCCCCAAAUUCACCCCAAAAUGCUCCGAAUUUACCCCAAAAUCCCCUCAGGGACCCCAA